Molecule: long non-coding RNA, 150 nt
Organism: Amblyraja radiata (thorny skate)
Lineage: Eukaryota; Metazoa; Chordata; Chondrichthyes; Rajiformes; Rajidae
Exons: 3
Source: RefSeq, a predicted model, not a curated record
GCGGCCAGCUCUAUGAAGAGUCCUGGUGGUUUACAAGUUCUUCCAUUUAAUAAUGACGAAGGCCACUGUGCUCUUCGGGACCUGCAAUGCUGCAGAAAUUGUUUUAUAUCCUUCCCCAGAUCUGUGUCUCGACACAAUCCUGUCUUGGAG